CCCCUCUCAGGGUUGCAGCUGGAGAGUUUCCUGAACUCUACAAGUCUCAGCUACAGGAGGGAGAGUCAAGCAGAUGCCUGUCCAUUCCAUUCCUGGCUUGGCCAAUGGCUAGUGAGUGGAAGGCAAUCUGCUACAAGU
Ornithorhynchus anatinus (platypus) is the source of this 138-nucleotide small nucleolar RNA. NCBI's taxonomy places the organism in Eukaryota, Metazoa, Chordata, Mammalia, Monotremata, Ornithorhynchidae. The record is from RefSeq and is a predicted model, not a curated record.